Molecule: long non-coding RNA, 1903 nt
Organism: Raphanus sativus (radish)
Lineage: Eukaryota; Viridiplantae; Streptophyta; Magnoliopsida; Brassicales; Brassicaceae
Exons: 3
Source: RefSeq, a predicted model, not a curated record
AUUUAUUUGCUGUCUAGUCUAUUUAUAUAAAGUAGAGUUCCCUUUCUCCAGGGCCCUCCACCUAGGAUGACACGUCAUUAAUUCGAAGUCUCUGGUGUCGACACGUAUGAAAUGCUAUGUUUCAUUAAAGUGCUCAUUUCAUAGCUGCAGGCUUGACGUUGGGCUUCAACUCACGCUUCGUUUGCGGCCCACCUUCGUGUUCUCUGUUUCUCUUCGAUCGGCGGAGGGACGAUCCAGUCUCUUCCCUCUUCGUGCGACGGCGACUCAAUCGUUUGCGCUUCUUCACACCAUCCGAAACGGUCCGAUUAAAAGCUUUGUGAUUGAUCAGAUUGAUUGACUCCUUCCACGAUGUUGUCUUCAAUACUUUGUUUGUUCCGAAAGGCGGUGAUUUUUGGUAUAAAUAUGUGUUUAUUUCCUUCGUUCUUAAGUCUGGCAAGGGCUCUUCCGUUGCCGAGGCUUCUGUCAUUUUGUGAGGAGGUGGUGGUGAACUCAUGUGCAUCGACAUGCUAAUGGUGGACGUUAACGUAAGUUCAUUUUACUGAUUUUGAUGGUUUUAUAUUCAAAUGAUUACGGGGAACCUCCUACUGUUUGUCAUCUAUAUUUAUAAUUUUUUUGGAACUUCUUCCUGUUUGUUGAUUAUGCGAUGUAUGAGAUUAAUUUUUAAGUGAUAAUCAAUGCAAGCCAUCCCGUGAAAUGCAUCAGUUCUGUCUUCUCCUUCUGGACGCAAAAGGUUUCCAGCUUCACUAUGUAGUUUUAAUUUUUUUUCCUGUCUUGCAUUGAUCAUCUUUUGAUUAUCAAACUUUCAACCCUAAUAGUUCGUUCAACAGAGAUCAGUUUGAUCAUGUCUUCAUUAUCAAAAUUAUUCCCAAUUUUUUUUUGUUAUUUUAAAUCAUGCCAGCUUGCAGGGAGAAGCAAGUUUUGAAGUUCCUUACUUUGUCUAUGGCUGUGGAGGUUCCACUUGCUAUCCUACGCCACAAGGACCGGCAUAUCUAAGCAAAAGUUUGUAAUAAAGAAGCAUUUGAACAGGCUAAACAAACCCGAUGUCAAGAGCAUUCAGUUUACUUGCAGUUCCUUUUUUAGAUGAAGCACAAUUACCUUCCUCAGGGACUCUUUGAGGAGGACAAAAGAAGAUGAUAUCUUGAGAGAAAGUUCAUUCAAAAGAUAUGGCAAGACGAAGCAUAGAACUUUCCCGUUUCCUAAAUCUGAGGAACCUGGCUUCAUGAACCAAAGUAGUCAUCAGAUGAGUCAAAGCUUUUCUUUUUCUUUGUUGGUUUCUUGGAAGUCUUAUUUCUCUACUCAAACACAAUUUAUUAUCGGAUAUUGUUUGCGCUCCGUUUCUCACAGGUGCAACUACAAAGUGCUUCUUAACCUUCACAUUGAAGUGACUUUACAUGUUAUAAACGGGCUCAUUGAUCUCUUAUAAUUUGCUUGGAUCCUCACAAACAGAGGUUCGAGUCUUUAUGUCUAUUCCUAGAAUUGUUAAGUCUCAACGGCAUUAUCAGCUGCGAGAGAAUGGCAAAACAGUCAAAUAACACUACCACAAAAACAGAGGACUGUAGCUAUACCACCGGUAAGUUUAGAUAACGUUACCGUGAUGAGAUCUGAUGCCUCUUGGAAGGAGAACCGCAAUAUUGCAGGUUUGGGAUGGGUCAUCUACGGAGAGGAUGGACCAAUGAAGUUCUCAGCAGUGGAAGAGCAUGUCUCCACGCCUUUGUUGGCAGAGAGUAUAGCAAUGAAAGAAUCACUCGCCAAAUGCAAGGAGUACACGUGUCAGAUGUGAAGCAGAUUCUAAACAGCUUAUUGCCUGCAUCAGGAAGGAAUUGUAUCGGAUAUUGUAGUUUUAGCUUCAGACUUUGAGGCCAUCUCUUUUGGAUGGAUCUCCCGUAUGGAAAAUGUUGUUGCA